This 64-nucleotide transfer RNA is filed under the name Elaptus simulator. Its description in RNAcentral is "tRNA-Ile". Lineage: Eukaryota; Metazoa; Arthropoda; Insecta; Coleoptera; Cerambycidae. The record is from RNAcentral.
AGUGAGGUGCCUGAAAUAAAGGAUAAUUUUGAUAGAAUUGAACAUGCAGCCCCUGCCCUCGCUU